UACGUAGGUGGCAAGCGUUGUCCGGAAUUAUUGGGCGUAAAGCGCGCGCAGGUGGUUUAGAAAGUCUGAUGUGAAAGCCCACGGCUCAACCGUGGAGGGUCAUUGGAAACUGCUAGACUUGAGUGCAGGAGAGAAAAGUGGAAUUCCUAGUGUAGCGGUGGAAUGCGUAGAGAUUAGGAGGAACACCAGUGGCGAAGGCGGCUUUUUGGCCUGUAACUGACACUGAGGCGCGAAAGCGUGGGGAGCAAACA
RNAcentral lists this ribosomal RNA (251 nucleotides) under uncultured bacterium. Its description in RNAcentral is "partial 16S ribosomal RNA". It matches the Rfam family "Bacterial small subunit ribosomal RNA", at positions 524 to 774 of the family's 1533-position model. The record is from RNAcentral.